GAUGAACGCUGGCGGCGUGCCUAAUACAUGCAAGUCGAGCGAACAGACGAGGAGCUUGCUCCUCUGACGUUAGCGGCGGACGGGUGAGUAACACGUGGAUAACCUACCUAUAAGACUGGGAUAACUUCGGGAAACCGGAGCUAAUACCGGAUAAUAUAUUGAACCGCAUGGUUCAAUAGUGAAAGACGGUUUUGCUGUCACUUAUAGAUGGAUCCGCGCCGCAUUAGCUAGUUGGUAAGGUAACGGCUUACCAAGGCAACGAUGCGUAGCCGACCUGAGAGGGUGAUCGGCCACACUGGAACUGAGACACGGUCCAGACUCCUACGGGAGGCAGCAGUAGGGAAUCUUCCGCAAUGGGCGAAAGCCUGACGGAGCAACGCCGCGUGAGUGAUGAAGGUCUUCGGAUCGUAAAACUCUGUUAUUAGGGAAGAACAAAUGUGUAAGUAACUAUGCACGUCUUGACGGUACCUAAUCAGAAAGCCACGGCUAACUACGUGCCAGCAGCCGCGGUAAUACGUAGGUGGCAAGCGUUAUCCGGAAUUAUUGGGCGUAAAGCGCGCGUAGGCGGUUUUUUAAGUCUGAUGUGAAAGCCCACGGCUCAACCGUGGAGGGUCAUUGGAAACUGGAAAACUUGAGUGCAGAAGAGGAAAGUGGAAUUCCAUGUGUAGCGGUGAAAUGCGCAGAGAUAUGGAGGAACACCAGUGGCGAAGGCGACUUUCUGGUCUGUAACUGACGCUGAUGUGCGAAAGCGUGGGGAUCAAACAGGAUUAGAUACCCUGGUAGUCCACGCCGUAAACGAUGAGUGCUAAGUGUUAGGGGGUUUCCGCCCCUUAGUGCUGCAGCUAACGCAUUAAGCACUCCGCCUGGGGAGUACGACCGCAAGGUUGAAACUCAAAGGAAUUGACGGGGACCCGCACAAGCGGUG
RNAcentral lists this ribosomal RNA (925 nucleotides) under Staphylococcus epidermidis. RNAcentral describes it as "bacterial SSU rRNA". It matches the Rfam family "Bacterial small subunit ribosomal RNA", at positions 28 to 934 of the family's 1533-position model. Lineage: Bacteria; Bacillati; Bacillota; Bacilli; Caryophanales; Staphylococcaceae. The record is from RNAcentral.